UGGGGAAUCUUGGACAAUGGGCGCAAGCCUGAUCCAGCCAUGCCGCGUGGAUGAUGAAGGCCUUAGGGUUGUAAAAUCCUUUCGCCGAGGACGAUAAUGACGGUACUCGGAGAAGAAGCUCCGGCUAACUUCGUGCCAGCAGCCGCGGUAAUACGAAGGGGGCUAGCGUUGUUCGGAUUUACUGGGCGUAAAGCGCGUGUAGGCGGGUCGUUAAGUUAGGGGUGAAAUCCCGAGGCUCAACCUCGGAACUGCCUUCAAAACUGGCGACCUGGACCUAAGUAGAGGCAAGUGGAAUUGCGAGUGUAGAGGUGAAAUUCGUAGAUAUUCGCAGGAACACCAGUGGCGAAGGCGACUUGCUGGACUUAUGGUGACGCUGAGACGCGAAAGCGUGGGGAGCAAACAGGAUUAGAUACCCCUGUAGUCCCUGAGCGGGCUGGCAAGGCGCAU
Molecule: ribosomal RNA, 447 nt
Filed under: uncultured bacterium
Lineage: Bacteria
Description: bacterial SSU rRNA
Rfam family: Bacterial small subunit ribosomal RNA
Source: RNAcentral